GCGCCUGUAGCUCAACUGGAUAGAGCACCAGACUUCGGAUCUGGGGGUUAAGGGUUCAAAUCCUUUCAGGCGCGCCA
This 77-nucleotide transfer RNA is filed under the name Alphaproteobacteria bacterium MarineAlpha5_Bin12. RNAcentral describes it as "tRNA-Arg". It matches the Rfam family "tRNA". Rfam says of the family: Transfer RNA (tRNA) molecules are approximately 80 nucleotides in length. Their secondary structure includes four short double-helical elements and three loops (D, anti-codon, and T loops). Lineage: Bacteria; Pseudomonadati; Pseudomonadota; Alphaproteobacteria. The record is from RNAcentral. RNAcentral also lists the same sequence under 1 other name.